GAUGAACGCUGGCGGCGUGCUUAACACAUGCAAGUCGAACGGAAAGGCGCCUUUUUGCAUGGGUACUCGAGUGGCGCACGGGUGAGUAACACGUGGGUGAUCUGCCCUGCACUUCGGGGUAAGCCUGGGGAACUGGGUCUAAUACCGGAUAGGACGAUGUUAUGGAUGCGAUUCUGGAGAGCUUUGCGGUGUGGGGUGAGCUAGCGGCCUAUCAGCUUGUUGGUGGGGUAAUGGCUUACCAAGGCGUCGACGGGUAGCCGGCAUGAGAGGGUGUACGGCAACAUGGGGACUGAGAGACGGCGCAGACGGCUACGGGAGGCAGCGGUGGGGAAUAUGGCACAAUGGGGGCAAGCGUGAUGUGGCGGCGCCGCGUGGGGGAUGACGGCCUGCGGGUUGCAAACACCUUUCGCUAGAGACGAAGCGCAGGUGACGGUACCUGGAGAAGAAGCACCGGCUAACUACGUG
RNAcentral lists this ribosomal RNA (465 nucleotides) under uncultured bacterium. Its description in RNAcentral is "partial 16S ribosomal RNA". It matches the Rfam family "Bacterial small subunit ribosomal RNA", at positions 28 to 507 of the family's 1533-position model. The record is from RNAcentral.